GAAAGGCGCUUUUGCGUCACUGAUGGAUGGACCCGCGGUGCAUUAGCUAGUUGGUGAGGUAACGGCUCACCAAGGCCACGAUGCAUAGCCGACCUGAGAGGGUGAUCGGCCACACUGGGACUGAGACACGGCCCAGACUCCUACGGGAGGCAGCAGUAGGGAAUCUUCGGCAAUGGACGAAAGUCUGACCGAGCAACGCCGCGUGAGUGAAGAAGGUUUUCGGAUCGUAAAACUCUGUUGCUAGAGAAGAACAAGGAUGAGAGUAGAACGUUCAUCCCUUGACGGUAUCUAACCAGAAAGCCACGGCUAACUACGUGCCAGCAGCCGCGGUAAUACGUAGGUGGCAAGCGUUGUCCGGAUUUAUUGGGCGUAAAGCGAGCGCAGGCGGUUUCUUAAGUCUGAUGUGAAAGCCCCCGGCUCAACCGGGGAGGGUCAUUGGAAACUGGGAGACUUGAGUGCAGAAGAGGAGAGUGGAAUUCCAUGUGUAGCGGUGAAAUGCGUAGAUAUAUGGAGGAACACCAGUGGCGAAGGCGGCUCUCUGGUCUGUAACUGACGCUGAGGCUCGAAAGCGUGGGGAGCGAACAGGAUUAGAUACCCUGGUAGUCCACGCCGUAAACGAUGAGUGCUAAGUGUUGGAGGGUUUCCGCCCUUCA
RNAcentral lists this ribosomal RNA (653 nucleotides) under uncultured bacterium. RNAcentral describes it as "bacterial SSU rRNA". It matches the Rfam family "Bacterial small subunit ribosomal RNA", at positions 202 to 842 of the family's 1533-position model. The record is from RNAcentral.